Small nucleolar RNA from Ornithorhynchus anatinus (platypus), 139 nucleotides. The record is from RefSeq and is a predicted model, not a curated record. Lineage: Eukaryota; Metazoa; Chordata; Mammalia; Monotremata; Ornithorhynchidae.
GCUCUCUCAGGGUUGCAACUGGAGAGUACUCCAGUACUCUACCAGUCUCGACUACAGGACGGAGAGUCUAGCAGAGGUAUACCCAUUCCAUUCUUAGGUUGGCCAGUGGCUAGCGAGUGGAAGGCAAUCUGCUACAACU